Molecule: long non-coding RNA, 418 nt
Filed under: Rattus norvegicus (Norway rat)
Lineage: Eukaryota; Metazoa; Chordata; Mammalia; Rodentia; Muridae
Description: long non-coding RNA NONRATT033007
Source: RNAcentral
AUUGGAAUUUGUAUCAAGUAGACUUUCAUCUCUCUCACUUUAUUGAAAUUAUUGCUGUUUUUUAGGUCACAGCAAUCCUGCUGCUUCAUUACCAAAUUCAGUGGGCAACUCUCGGUAAUAUCAUGCCGGUCCUAGCAUUGGCACAGUGUAUCACUCACCUUCUGUGAUGCUGUGUUCAGCUGUUCCUGGUGAUCCACUCUUGACUUUACAUCAUGUCCCAGUGGCUACUUCUGAAUCCUGCUUGCUGGGACUCCUGUCUGAGAUUAUUUCUUCUGCUGCAAAAAGAAUACUCAAGGUGUAGCAGUGGAAAUAGAAAACUUCAGUAGUAAACUUGGAUUGGGAAGUCCUAACCUGUAUCUGUAAGUAUGUAUAACCUGGAUGUACAGUAAUUAAAAUGAAAAGUUUUAUGUAAUCCCAG